UGCGUAGGCGGUUAGUUAAGUCUGUUGUGAAAUCCCCGGGCUCAACCUGGGAAUGGCAAUGGAUACUGGCUAGCUAGAGUGUGUCAGAGGAUGGUGGAAUUUCCGGUGUAGCGGUGAAAUGCGUAGAGAUCGGAAGGAACAUCAGUGGCGAAGGCGGGCCAUCUGGGACAACACUGACGCUGAAGCACGAAAGCUGGGGAGCAAACA
RNAcentral lists this ribosomal RNA (207 nucleotides) under uncultured bacterium. RNAcentral's name for it is "partial 16S ribosomal RNA". It matches the Rfam family "Bacterial small subunit ribosomal RNA", at positions 568 to 774 of the family's 1533-position model. The record is from RNAcentral.